GGAGUCCAAGAAAGGAGGAGAAGGCAGACAAGUAUUUGAAAAAAUAAUGGCCAAAUUUUUUUCUAAAUUUAUCCUCACUACUGCACUUGACUAGUCUUUA
RNAcentral lists this small RNA (100 nucleotides) under Microcebus murinus (gray mouse lemur). RNAcentral's name for it is "Y RNA (ENSMICG00000026021.3)". Lineage: Eukaryota; Metazoa; Chordata; Mammalia; Primates; Cheirogaleidae. The record is from RNAcentral.